Molecule: transfer RNA, 64 nt
Filed under: Fasciola jacksoni
Lineage: Eukaryota; Metazoa; Platyhelminthes; Trematoda; Plagiorchiida; Fasciolidae
Description: tRNA-Leu
Source: RNAcentral
GCAUGAGUGCCAGAGGAUAUGGGUUGGUUUUAAGCAUCAAAUAUGGGUUUGUGCCCCUUGUGUG